GAUUUGGAUUUACAAGCACUUUUCAUUUUCCGGAAAUGAAACAUUUCUUUUUCGAUGUUUCAUUUUUUGAUUUUUUUCAUUUUAAACACUCGUUCAAGAAUCAUAACUUUGCGUUUCCUUCAGCAACUUGAUACUGGUAAACCACUUUUCUAUGAAAAUACUGUUAAAAAACCCUCGCAUGGUACGAAAAGAAGCCCUAUAGAAGGUAACGUUGUGCCUUACGAAGUUACGUUUUCAACAAGUUACA
This 247-nucleotide long non-coding RNA is filed under the name Mytilus galloprovincialis (Mediterranean mussel). Lineage: Eukaryota; Metazoa; Mollusca; Bivalvia; Mytilida; Mytilidae. The record is from RNAcentral.